UACGUAGGUGACAAGCGUUAUCCGGAUUUAUUGGGCGUAAAGCGCACGCAGGCGGCCUAUCAAGUCUGACGUGAAAUCUCUCGGCUUAACCGGGAGCGGUCGUUGGAAACUGAAGGGCUUGAGGCGAUGAGAGGGGUGUGGAAUUCCCGGUGUAGUGGUGGAAUGCGUAGAUAUCGGGAGGAACAUCAGUGGCGAAAGCGGCACCCUGGCAUUAGCCUGACGCUCAUGUGCGAAAGCGUGGGGAGCGAACGGG
This 253-nucleotide ribosomal RNA is filed under the name uncultured bacterium. RNAcentral describes it as "partial 16S ribosomal RNA". It matches the Rfam family "Bacterial small subunit ribosomal RNA", at positions 524 to 776 of the family's 1533-position model. The record is from RNAcentral.